Molecule: ribosomal RNA, 275 nt
Filed under: uncultured bacterium
Lineage: Bacteria
Description: partial 16S ribosomal RNA
Rfam family: Bacterial small subunit ribosomal RNA
Source: RNAcentral
GCGUGAGUGAUGAAGGCCUUAGGGUUGUAAAGCUCUUUCAGCAGGGAAGAUAAUGACGGUACCUGAAGAAGAAGCCCCGGCUAACUCCGUGCCAGCAGCCGCGGUAAUACGGAGGGGGCUAGCGUUGUUCGGAAUUACUGGGCGUAAAGAGCGCGUAGGCGGUCUAUUAAGUUGGAAGUGAAAUCCCGAGGCUCAACCUCGGAACUGCUUUCAAAACUGGUAGACUAGAGAGCGAUAGAGGAUGGUGGAAUUCCUAGUGUAGAGGUGAAAUUCUU